CUUGAGAGAGUAACAUGCUGCUGAGACCAUCUGGACAGUGUACAUGACUGAACCCGGUUAAAGCCUUUAUAUAAACUUCUAAGAUGCUGGUGGGCAGCUACGGAGAUCUACUUGUCUUGCUGCCACACAAGAGAAGCCUCGCAUAGAAGACCCUGAGAGAAGACUGAGGCCAGUGGCAGUCAACCUUGAAGAGUCAUAAACUGAUUUUCCCAGGAGGUGAAGCAUGCUGAAACCAUUGGGACAUCCACGUUAUCAUCGGCAGUGGUCAUACUAUACUCAUGUGGAGGAGUGGCCCUUACCUACCUCACUGUCACCAUGAGUCUCGUUCAGCAUAUGUCCUGAGAAUGCUAGGCCAGCCCCAGCAGACCCCAGCUGGCCAGGUCCUGGGUGAAUCAGAUCUGGGACUCCUGCUUGAUGUAACAUGAUAAUGUGCCAGGCACAGUGCUGAGAGAGAAGACGCCACCACAACCCUCUUAAAGUUCAGAGAGAGCAUCAGAGGAAAACAAGAGGUCCACAGGGAGCUUCAAGGGAGACAAUGCUCACUGCCUUCAGAAUGGUUGCAGGGCAUGGCUUGCCAAGGAUCCGAACCAGCAAACCCCAGGCCACAGAAGCAGAAUGUGCACACUUAACCACUGCUCCACUGGGCAGGAGCCUCCACUUUUCUAUUUUUAUUGAGGCAAUAAUGGUCAAAGGGCAACAUGAAGUCAUCUGUAAGAUGUCACGGUGCAAAUUGAGUUCAGUCUGAUAAUCAACUCAAGAAUAAAGAAACCUAAUUUCACAUGUUCAAGAAAGACUCUAGCUGAUCUCUAGCCCUGUGGAUACUAGAGCAAAUUUCCUGAUAUCACCUGUUGGUCACCCUUUGCCUCAUUAAACGACUGUAGAUCAAUGAGCAUGCAGAAUCAGGAGACAGUUUCGUCCCAGGAAGGAAAAUUGCAGUCCAACUUCAAAGCAACACACCAGACCUCAGACGAAAGUGUUCCAGUUUGUUACUUUGCACGACUGUGUGUUUCAAUUUAUUACACUGAUGACUUACCUUGUACUACUCUGUGUUCAAUUAUGUAUUUCCUGUUCUCAUUACAGACCUUCAAACGACCGCAAAGAUAUAUUCAUUU
This 1112-nucleotide long non-coding RNA is filed under the name Equus caballus (horse). RNAcentral describes it as "lncRNA (ENSECAG00000055001.1)". The record is from RNAcentral. Lineage: Eukaryota; Metazoa; Chordata; Mammalia; Perissodactyla; Equidae.